UAACGAAUCUUCCGCAAUGCACGAAAGUGUGACGGAGCGACGCCGCGUGUAGGACGAAGCCCUUCGGGGUGUAAACUACUGUCAGGGGUUAGAAAGUUCUGAUCAACCCCAGAGGAAGGCACGGCUAACUCUGUGCCAGCAGCCGCGGUAAGACAGAGGUGCCAAGCGUUAGGCGGAAUCACUGGGCUUAAAGCGUGUGUAGGCGGAUCGUUAAGUACCUUGUGAAAUCCCACGGCUCAACCGUGGAACUGCUCGGUAUACUGGCGAUCUUGAGCCAUCUAGGGGUCGCCGGAACAAAUGGUGGAGCGGUGAAAUGCGUAGAUAUCAUUUGGAACGCCAAAGGUGAAAACAGGCGACUGGGGAUGUGCUGACGCUGAGACACGAAAGCCAGGGGAGCGAACGGGAUUAGAUACCCCCGUAGUCC
RNAcentral lists this ribosomal RNA (424 nucleotides) under uncultured bacterium. RNAcentral describes it as "bacterial SSU rRNA". It matches the Rfam family "Bacterial small subunit ribosomal RNA", at positions 355 to 796 of the family's 1533-position model. The record is from RNAcentral.